RNAcentral lists this long non-coding RNA (758 nucleotides) under Mus pahari (shrew mouse). RNAcentral's name for it is "predicted gene 43560 (MGP_PahariEiJ_G0033025.1)". Lineage: Eukaryota; Metazoa; Chordata; Mammalia; Rodentia; Muridae. The record is from RNAcentral.
AUCCUACACUGAGUUAUGUACCUACACUGGAAUGUCUGUAAUGUUUUGUGACUGUGACAGAAUAUCCCACUGCAGCAGCUUAGAGUGGAGGCUCUGUCCUGAGUGCAUGUUCCACAGAGAAGGAGGCUUCGUUCCCUGAAUUCACGUCAUUACACAGAUGUGAAAAUGAGCAAGAUUCGACUGCUUCUGAGGGAGCACAGCUGCACUUGCCCUUCUGUAUGAGGCUACUUUGGUUUAACCCAACAAUAGCAUCCAGAAGUCCUGACUGUAAAUCCUAAACCGGCAUCCUUCAGGUCUUUGAAGUUGUGCACAUUGCUUGACUUCACUGAGCCUCAAAUUACCAUGAAUUUAUACAUACAGUCACCCUUCACAAAAUUAGGAAAACUCUGGUCUGUAAUGACAUCGCAUUGUUGGUUGCCUGGAUCUGAGUGGGGCCUGCUUGGGAUGUUAAAUUAAAAGGACCUUUCUGAGAUUAAGAAGAUACCGUAUUUUAAGUCUGGAGAAAGGGCUCACUCAAUGAGUAAAGCAUUGAAGACCAGAGUUCCAAUCCCCAGAGCCCAUGUAACAUCUAGGACAGUGGCAGCCUACCUGAGUCCCAGCACACUGGGACUGGUACCAGAACAGUACCAGCCAGAACGAGCUAGUCCUAAUGAUGGUGGGCUCCUGGUUCCAUGUAUGAGAUGGGGAGUAAGCUGUCCUCCACACUCAUCCACACAUACUGCAUGUGCCCACAUACUUGCAAAGAGACACAUGCAUCC